GUGUUGUAUGAAAAGAGAGAAGGUUAGCACUCCCCUUGACAAGGAUGGAAGAGACCCCAGACCUGACAAUACAUAUACAGUUGAGCCAUUGCCACCUACUUUGUGGCAUCUAACUAUUGUUUAAA
This is a small nuclear RNA of Prolemur simus (greater bamboo lemur), 125 nucleotides long. The record is from Ensembl. Lineage: Eukaryota; Metazoa; Chordata; Mammalia; Primates; Lemuridae.